Molecule: ribosomal RNA, 1476 nt
Filed under: Lactiplantibacillus plantarum
Lineage: Bacteria; Bacillati; Bacillota; Bacilli; Lactobacillales; Lactobacillaceae
Description: bacterial SSU rRNA
Rfam family: Bacterial small subunit ribosomal RNA
Source: RNAcentral
CCUUGCCGGCGUUGCCUAAUUACAUGCAAGUCGAACGAACUCUGGUAUUGAUUGGUGCUUGCAUCAUGAUUUACAUUUGAGUGAGUGGCGAACUGGUGAGUAACACGUGGGAAACCUGCCCAGAAGCGGGGGAUAACACCUGGAAACAGAUGCUAAUACCGCAUAACAACUUGGACCGCAUGGUCCGAGUUUGAAAGAUGGCUUCGGCUAUCACUUUUGGAUGGUCCCGCGGCGUAUUAGCUAGAUGGUGGGGUAACGGCUCACCAUGGCAAUGAUACGUAGCCGACCUGAGAGGGUAAUCGGCCACAUUGGGACUGAGACACGGCCCAAACUCCUACGGGAGGCAGCAGUAGGGAAUCUUCCACAAUGGACGAAAGUCUGAUGGAGCAACGCCGCGUGAGUGAAGAAGGGUUUCGGCUCGUAAAACUCUGUUGUUAAAGAAGAACAUAUCUGAGAGUAACUGUUCAGGUAUUGACGGUAUUUAACCAGAAAGCCACGGCUAACUACGUGCCAGCAGCCGCGGUAAUACGUAGGUGGCAAGCGUUGUCCGGAUUUAUUGGGCGUAAAGCGAGCGCAGGCGGUUUUUUAAGUCUGAUGUGAAAGCCUUCGGCUCAACCGAAGAAGUGCAUCGGAAACUGGGAAACUUGAGUGCAGAAGAGGACAGUGGAACUCCAUGUGUAGCGGUGAAAUGCGUAGAUAUAUGGAAGAACACCAGUGGCGAAGGCGGCUGUCUGGUCUGUAACUGACGCUGAGGCUCGAAAGUAUGGGUAGCAAACAGGAUUAGAUACCCUGGUAGUCCAUACCGUAAACGAUGAAUGCUAAGUGUUGGAGGGUUUCCGCCCUUCAGUGCUGCAGCUAACGCAUUAAGCAUUCCGCCUGGGGAGUACGGCCGCAAGGCUGAAACUCAAAGGAAUUGACGGGGGCCCGCACAAGCGGUGGAGCAUGUGGUUUAAUUCGAAGCUACGCGAAGAACCUUACCAGGUCUUGACAUACUAUGCAAAUCUAAGAGAUUAGACGUUCCCUUCGGGGACAUGGAUACAGGUGGUGCAUGGUUGUCGUCAGCUCGUGUCGUGAGAUGUUGGGUUAAGUCCCGCAACGAGCGCAACCCUUAUUAUCAGUUGCCAGCAUUAAGUUGGGCACUCUGGUGAGACUGCCGGUGACAAACCGGAGGAAGGUGGGGAUGACGUCAAAUCAUCAUGCCCCUUAUGACCUGGGCUACACACGUGCUACAAUGGAUGGUACAACGAGUUGCGAACUCGCGAGAGUAAGCUAAUCUCUUAAAGCCAUUCUCAGUUCGGAUUGUAGGCUGCAACUCGCCUACAUGAAGUCGGAAUCGCUAGUAAUCGCGGAUCAGCAUGCCGCGGUGAAUACGUUCCCGGGCCUUGUACACACCGCCCGUCACACCAUGAGAGUUUGUAACACCCAAAGUCGGUGGGGUAACCUUUUAGGAACCAGCCGCCUUAAAGGGGGACCAGU